UACGGAGGGUGCAAGCGUUAAUCGGAAUUACUGGGCGUAAAGAGUGCGUAGGUGGUUGUAUAAGUUAUUUGUGAAAGCCCCGGGCUCAACCUGGGAAUGCCAAGUAAAACUGUAUGACUCGAGUAUAGGAGAGGGUAGUGGAAUUUCCGGUGUAGCGGUGAAAUGCGUAGAGAUCGGAAGGAACACCAGUGGCGAAGGCGACUACCUGGCCAGAUACUGACACUGAGGCACGAAAGCGUGGGGAGCAAACAGG
RNAcentral lists this ribosomal RNA (253 nucleotides) under uncultured bacterium. Its description in RNAcentral is "partial 16S ribosomal RNA". It matches the Rfam family "Bacterial small subunit ribosomal RNA", at positions 524 to 776 of the family's 1533-position model. The record is from RNAcentral.